GAUUAGCUAGUUGGUAGGGUAAAGGCUUACCAAGGCAACGAUCAGUAGCUGGUCUGAGAGGACGACCAGCCACACUGGGACUGAGACACGGCCCAGACUCCUACGGGAGGCAGCAGUGGGGAAUUUUGGACAAUGGGCGAAAGCCUNAUCCAGCCAUGCCGCGUGANUGAAGAAGGCCUUCGGGUUGUAAAGCUCUUUUAGUCGGAAAGAAAGAGUCAUAGUAAANNNNUAUGAUUUUGACGGUACCGACAGAA
RNAcentral lists this ribosomal RNA (254 nucleotides) under uncultured beta proteobacterium. Its description in RNAcentral is "partial 16S ribosomal RNA". It matches the Rfam family "Bacterial small subunit ribosomal RNA", at positions 239 to 486 of the family's 1533-position model. The record is from RNAcentral. Lineage: Bacteria; Pseudomonadati; Pseudomonadota; Betaproteobacteria.